Molecule: non-coding RNA, 76 nt
Organism: Phthorimaea operculella (potato tuberworm)
Lineage: Eukaryota; Metazoa; Arthropoda; Insecta; Lepidoptera; Gelechiidae
Source: the annotation of a GenBank genome assembly
AGUGGUUAGUACCAUAGGUUAGUACGACUACCUGUCACGCAGAAGGUUCCGGGUUCAAUCCCCGGUGGGGUCACUU